GUAAUUCCUGCUGGGCCUUCAGCGCCACGGGGGCUCUGGAAAACCUGCAUUUCAAGACAACCGGCCAACGGGUCUCCUUCAGCGAGCAGAACCUCCUGGAUUGCUCCCGGGAUCAGGUCAACCGUGGGUGUCAAGGUGGACACCCCGCACAGGCUUUCGAAUACGUCCGCCAGAACGGGGGCCUCAGUUCGGAGCAGGACUACCCCUACAGAGGAAAGGUCGGAAGGUGCCGCAGGAAUGUCAGGAAGAUCCGGAUCAAAAUUUCAGGAUUUGGAAGGGUGCAAAGUGGGAACGAGAAGGAACUGGCAUAUGCAGUGGCAAAGUUUGGCCCUGUUUCUGUAGGAAUCAACUUUAAUAAAAGAAAGUUCCGAUAUUAUAAAUCAGGAAUCUUUUCA
Pogona vitticeps (central bearded dragon) is the source of this 395-nucleotide non-coding RNA. Lineage: Eukaryota; Metazoa; Chordata; Lepidosauria; Squamata; Agamidae. The record is from RefSeq and is a predicted model, not a curated record.